ACUGAGCGGCGGACGGGUGAGUAACGCGUGGGUAACCUGCCUCAUACAGGGGGAUAACAGUUGGAAACGGCUGCUAAUACCGCAUAAGCGCACAGUACCGCAUGGUACGGUGUGAAAAACUCCGGUGGUAUGAGAUGGACCCGCGUCUGAUUAGGUAGUUGGUGGGGUAACGGCCUACCAAACCGACGAUCAGUAGCCGACCUGAGAGGGUGACCGGCCACAUUGGGACUGAGACACGGCCCAA
RNAcentral lists this ribosomal RNA (244 nucleotides) under uncultured bacterium. RNAcentral's name for it is "partial 16S ribosomal RNA". It matches the Rfam family "Bacterial small subunit ribosomal RNA", at positions 90 to 334 of the family's 1533-position model. The record is from RNAcentral.